Molecule: non-coding RNA, 127 nt
Organism: Aedes aegypti (yellow fever mosquito)
Lineage: Eukaryota; Metazoa; Arthropoda; Insecta; Diptera; Culicidae
Source: Rfam
UUCCCAGCAAUUCCUAUCCCUACCUCCUCGAGGUACUGGCUGGGGUACGAGUAACCUAGGGGGAACCUAGGGAAGAUCGGGUAACCAAUCCCCGGUGGGAAAUUUGGUCGUAUGCUGACAAGGAAGG